Molecule: ribosomal RNA, 249 nt
Filed under: uncultured bacterium
Lineage: Bacteria
Description: partial 16S ribosomal RNA
Rfam family: Bacterial small subunit ribosomal RNA
Source: RNAcentral
UGAGUAACACGUAUGCAACCUGCCUGCCACAGCCGGAUAAUCGGGAGAAAUUCCGUCUAAUACGGCAUAAUGCAUCGACGGGACAUCCUGUUGGUGCCAAAGGUUAAUUCCGGUGGCGGAUGGGCAUGCGUCGCAUUAGUUAGUUGGCGGUGUAACGGACCACCAAGACGACGAUGCGUAGGGGUUCUGAGAGGAAGGCCCCCCACACUGGGACUGAGACACGGCCCAGACUCCUACGGGAGGCAGCAG